UACAGAGGUCUCAAGCGUUGUUCGGAUUCAUUGGGCGUAAAGGGUGCGUCGGCGGCGCGGUAAGUCGGGUGUGAAAUCUCGGAGCUUAACUCCGAAACUGCAUUCGAUACUGCCGUGCUUGAGGACUGGAGAGGAGACUGGAAUUUACGGUGUAGCGGUGAAAUGCGUAGAUAUCGUAAGGAAGGCCAGUGGCGAAGGCGGGUCUCUGGACAGUUCCUGACGCUGAGGCACGAAGGUCAGGGGAGCAAACGGG
RNAcentral lists this ribosomal RNA (253 nucleotides) under uncultured bacterium. RNAcentral's name for it is "partial 16S ribosomal RNA". It matches the Rfam family "Bacterial small subunit ribosomal RNA", at positions 524 to 776 of the family's 1533-position model. The record is from RNAcentral.